Molecule: long non-coding RNA, 282 nt
Filed under: Ananas comosus (pineapple)
Lineage: Eukaryota; Viridiplantae; Streptophyta; Magnoliopsida; Poales; Bromeliaceae
Description: long non-coding RNA (ACOM_LNC011588)
Source: RNAcentral
AAAUAAAAGAUAGAUAAGUUAAUUAAGGUAAAAACAUACAAAACUUAUCUGAAUUAUAAAUUGUUUUGAAUCGACUACCCAACCUUUCAAAAUUUAAUUUUACUAUUCUACCUUUCAAUUCGUUUAAUUUGAGUUGGUUAACGACAUUUUGACUUAAAAUUUAGGCUAAUUACUCAAUUUAAUAAAUUUACAGUUGCGAGAAUUAAAUGAAAUAAUAGUAAUUAAACGACACAUUUAAAUUUUAAAAUUAAAGCGCGGUUCACGAGUAAACAAUUGAAAGGU